UGUUCCUAGACCUUGUUUCUCGAGUCAAUCCCACUGUGACAUGCUGUUUCCUACUGCACUCCUUUGUGGAGAUGAAGCCCAUACAGAGAGGACAACAUGCUUCACUCCCAGGUGCCACACCAGAGAUGAAAGAAGUUGGAUUAUAUCAAAGUUUGUUUCCUAACCUGAAGAAUAAGGGGAAGGAGAAGAGCCCGCCAUUGAAGCAUGACUUCCUGACUUCCCGACGAGAGCUCCUGGAUAUGAUUUAAAGCUCUACGAAAUGUUUGGAAUGAAACC
Calidris pygmaea (Spoon-billed sandpiper) is the source of this 276-nucleotide long non-coding RNA. Lineage: Eukaryota; Metazoa; Chordata; Aves; Charadriiformes; Scolopacidae. The record is from Ensembl.